Molecule: long non-coding RNA, 566 nt
Filed under: Ananas comosus (pineapple)
Lineage: Eukaryota; Viridiplantae; Streptophyta; Magnoliopsida; Poales; Bromeliaceae
Description: long non-coding RNA (ACOM_LNC038839)
Source: RNAcentral
GAAUCCUCACAAUUGAGUGGUGUAUUGUGGUGUUGUGAUAUCGCAGAUAGUGAUGCCAGUUAAGAAAUCACAGUAGACUCCACUAGAGAGUAAUGAGUAUAGUGGAUGUUACCUGAUAAGUUGGUAUAUGAACCAAGGUGGUUUAUGAAUUUUGAGUACAAGUCAUACAGGAAUGAUCCCCACCGUGAGAAAACAGAGAGUAAUACUCUUUGAUGGAAAAUGAUGUUUAUUGAUAUGAAUUGGUUAGCAUCUAUUGCUGCUAAGCAUGAUGACACUGGCAUGUUAAGUUGAUGGUGUGGGUAAGCACUGAUGUAUGAGGAAAAGUAAUGGUAUUAAGCAGUUGUCAUCUGUUGAGGGUAAUUGAUUACGACACAGGCUUGACAAGCAGUUGGGUGAGUCGUUGUUGGAUUAUUUAGUCAGAAUUGCAAAGAUAAGCAUCGAUGACGAGCUGAGAUUGGAAACGCAAACAAAGUGUUCGUAGAGACUGAUUCCUUCAAAUCAGGGUAGCAUAGAAUGAAAUUCAGAAGCUACGGAAUGAUAUGAUUUUACUUGUUGAGGAUUGUUGG